This 1082-nucleotide ribosomal RNA is filed under the name Enterococcus faecium. Its description in RNAcentral is "bacterial SSU rRNA". It matches the Rfam family "Bacterial small subunit ribosomal RNA", at positions 157 to 1226 of the family's 1533-position model. Lineage: Bacteria; Bacillati; Bacillota; Bacilli; Lactobacillales; Enterococcaceae. The record is from RNAcentral.
CAGGUGCUAAUACCGUAUAACAAUCAAAACCGCAUGGUUUUGAUUUGAAAGGCGCUUUCGGGUGUCGCUGAUGGAUGGACCCGCGGUGCAUUAGCUAGUUGGUGAGGUAACGGCUCACCAAGGCCACGAUGCAUAGCCGACCUGAGAGGGUGAUCGGCCACAUUGGGACUGAGACACGGCCCAAACUCCUACGGGAGGCAGCAGUAGGGAAUCUUCGGCAAUGGACGAAAGUCUGACCGAGCAACGCCGCGUGAGUGAAGAAGGUUUUCGGAUCGUAAAACUCUGUUGUUAGAGAAGAACAAGGAUGAGAGUAACUGUUCAUCCCUUGACGGUAUCUAACCAGAAAGCCACGGCUAACUACGUGCCAGCAGCCGCGGUAAUACGUAGGUGGCAAGCGUUGUCCGGAUUUAUUGGGCGUAAAGCGAGCGCAGGCGGUUUCUUAAGUCUGAUGUGAAAGCCCCCGGCUCAACCGGGGAGGGUCAUUGGAAACUGGGAGACUUGAGUGCAGAAGAGGAGAGUGGAAUUCCAUGUGUAGCGGUGAAAUGCGUAGAUAUAUGGAGGAACACCAGUGGCGAAGGCGGCUCUCUGGUCUGUAACUGACGCUGAGGCUCGAAAGCGUGGGGAGCAAACAGGAUUAGAUACCCUGGUAGUCCACGCCGUAAACGAUGAGUGCUAAGUGUUGGAGGGUUUCCGCCCUUCAGUGCUGCAGCUAACGCAUUAAGCACUCCGCCUGGGGAGUACGACCGCAAGGUUGAAACUCAAAGGAAUUGACGGGGGCCCGCACAAGCGGUGGAGCAUGUGGUUUAAUUCGAAGCAACGCGAAGAACCUUACCAGGUCUUGACAUCCUUUGACCACUCUAGAGAUAGAGCUUCCCCUUCGGGGGCAAAGUGACAGGUGGUGCAUGGUUGUCGUCAGCUCGUGUCGUGAGAUGUUGGGUUAAGUCCCGCAACGAGCGCAACCCUUAUUGUUAGUUGCCAUCAUUCAGUUGGGCACUCUAGCAAGACUGCCGGUGACAAACCGGAGGAAGGUGGGGAUGACGUCAAAUCAUCAUGCCCCUUAUGACCUGGGCUACACACGUGCU